UCAAGAAUCGCAUGCAUCCUACCUACAACAGUUACUAAUUUAGAAUCAGCGUAUAAGUUGGGUUAGAGAAUAAUAAUAAGCUGCGGGAAAGUACAGAUCCUAUUGUUGCAGUAUAUUUCGCGCACUUCUGUUAAAGUUGGGCCAAGUUAAAGUGACGGAGAUUUUAGUGCAGGUACCAGGUGCGGAAAAUAGAGAGGUACCAUGGGCCUUAAAGGAGUUUGCGGAAAAACCAUAUCGAGAUUGUCUUACUACGCUUUUAUUUUUGGACUCAAUGUUUGUUUUGGAUGCGUCAUAUUCUUUAUGUUGAUUAGACACGUCUUUGCCAACAUGAAUUCAGCAAAUGGGAAAAGAUACAGAUACGCGAUUUUUUGACGUUUUCUUAUAUGGAGAAACUAAAACUAACUUUUUAUUUGUGAAACAGAAGUCUGAAAUGUUGUUCCUUGUCAUACAAGGGUAUUUUUUUUAUAUGAUGUAGACAAUUCAAUUUUUUGUUUAAACUGACGAAUGAGUUUGUUGAAGAAUUCACAUACGUGCAAAUAGCAUUCUAUUCUUAAGUAUGUAGAUUAUGUAAUGCGUUGUACUUAAUUUAUUCAGUAGAUAAUAAAGUUAUUUAUGUUGUAUUUUUAA
Molecule: long non-coding RNA, 627 nt
Organism: Harmonia axyridis
Lineage: Eukaryota; Metazoa; Arthropoda; Insecta; Coleoptera; Coccinellidae
Exons: 2
Source: RefSeq, a predicted model, not a curated record